Long non-coding RNA from Saccostrea cuccullata (small rock oyster), 619 nucleotides. RefSeq lists it as uncharacterized. The record is from RefSeq and is a predicted model, not a curated record. NCBI's taxonomy places the organism in Eukaryota, Metazoa, Mollusca, Bivalvia, Ostreida, Ostreidae. The transcript is spliced from 3 exons.
CAAGAUCCCAUAGACGCUUCAAGGAAAGAAGGAAAUGUAUUAAGAUUCAAGAAGUAAACUAACAUUGAACAGAAUGUCAUCGAAAGGAAAGACUGUCUUGGUAUUAUUAGAAAGUUUAGCAGGGACAAAACAUAAAUAUGUACGCUUACGGCCACGUAUUGAUGGACCAGGAGAGGCUGUACUGUUUGAUCCAUUAGUGAGAGAAAAUGUGUUAUAUAAGGAAAUAAAGAAAAUCAAGACACUAAAGGAUAAGAAGAGAGAAAAAAGUGGAUCUAAAAGAUAAAAUGUGAAAAUGAACAUAGAAAUUGUGAUAUAUAUGAAUGUUGUGUUUAUAAUACAUGUAUUUGCAAACACAUCAACUGAUUUGUGAAGUGGACUUAACAAGAUGACUGUAAAGAGGAGGACUGAUAUGCAUUGAGCAGAGUAUGUCUAUUUACACUGCCUAAUAAACAUUGAAUCUACAAAAAAAUGUGUAAUGGGGUAUAAUUUGUUUGUAUUGUUCAUAAAAUUCAGUAAUUAUCCAUUACUGUAAAAUGUCAAUAGUGAGUUAGUUUCAUCCUCACACUUCUCUUUAAUAAAUCCAGUCAUAAUGUCAAUUAGUUUAUCCUUACAAUGAAAA